CCUACGGGGGGCUGCAGUGGGGAAUAUUGGACAAUGGGGGGAACCCUGAUCCAGCCAUGCCGCGUGUGUGAAGAAGGCCCUCGGGUUGUAAAGCACUUUCAGUGAGGAAGAACGCCUGGUGGUUAAUACCCAUCAGGAAAGACAUCACUCACAGAAGAAGCACCGGCUAACUCCGUGCCAGCAGCCGCGGUAAUACGGAGGGUGCGAGCGUUAAUCGGAAUUACUGGGCGUAAAGCGCGCGUAGGUGGCUUGAUAAGCCGGUUGUGAAAGCCCCGGGCUCAACCUGGGAACGGCAUCCGGAACUGGCAAGCUAGAGUGCAGGAGAGGAAGGUGGAAUUCCCGGUGUAGCGGUGAAAUGCGUAGAGAUCGGGAGGAAUACCAGUGGCGAAGGCGGCCUUCUGGACUGACACUGACACUGAGGUGCGAAAGCGUGGGUAGCAAACAGGAUUAGAUACCCCUGUAGUC
RNAcentral lists this ribosomal RNA (465 nucleotides) under Vreelandella stevensii. Its description in RNAcentral is "partial 16S ribosomal RNA". It matches the Rfam family "Bacterial small subunit ribosomal RNA", at positions 338 to 795 of the family's 1533-position model. The record is from RNAcentral. Lineage: Bacteria; Pseudomonadati; Pseudomonadota; Gammaproteobacteria; Oceanospirillales; Halomonadaceae.